CCCCUUGGCUAGGGGGGGAUUCGAAACCAUGUUUAUGCUUGCUAUAUGAUUUGAUUACUUCCAAUUGCGUUUCUUGAAUUGUGAAUUCAAUUUACUUAUCCGUUCGUAUAAAAACUAAUUUGUGUAUGUUGGUUGAGAGUGCACGCUUAAUUUUCAUGCAUGAAUUUGACGCUAGAAUAUAAGGGAGUUUCACCUAAUCGUUAUGAACUUAUAUUCACAAGUAGUGAAGGUUGCUAGUC
Molecule: long non-coding RNA, 239 nt
Filed under: Malus domestica (apple)
Lineage: Eukaryota; Viridiplantae; Streptophyta; Magnoliopsida; Rosales; Rosaceae
Description: long non-coding RNA (MDOM_LNC001976)
Source: RNAcentral